GGUGUCUGGGUUUAGGCCAGGAGAUGUUCAAGAACCCGUAUGUGUGAUGUCUGGUGUCUGGGUUUAGGCCUGGAGAUGUACAAGAACACAUAUGUGUGAUGUCUGGUGUCUGGGUUUAGGACAUGAGAUGUACAAGAACACGUAUAUGUGAUGUCUGGUGUCUGGGUUUAGGCCAGGAGAUGUUCAAGAACACGUAUGUGUGAUGUCUGGUGUCUGGGUUUAGGACAUGAGCUGUACAAGAACACGUAUGUGUGAUGUCUGGUGUCUGGGUUUAGGACAUGAGAUGUACAAGAACACGUAUGUGUGAUGUCUGGUGUCUGGGUUUAGGACAGGAGAUGUACAAGAACAUGUAUUUGUGAUGUCUGGUGUCUGGGUUUAGGACAGGAGAUGUACAAGAACACGUAUGUGUGAUAUCUGGUGUCGGGGUAUAGUACGGCAGAUGUUCUAGGGCAUGUGUGAGUGGACAUGAUUUCUAAAAAUCAACAUGGCUGCCAUUUCCCAUCUUAGAUUUUGUGAAAAACAAUAUGAUCGGUCAUUUCUGUAAUCCAAACACGGUAUUGAAUUUUAAAAAAAAGAAAUUUAAUUAUCGCUUUCAAAUCAUCGGACAAAUCACAUUCAAAUAAGCAUAAAAUUCAUUAAAAGUGUGUCUGGUGUCUAGGUUUAGGACAGGAGAUGUACAAGAACAUGUAUGUGUGAUGUCUGGUGUCUGGGUUUAGGACAGGAGAUGUACAAGAACACGUAUGUGUGAUGUUUGGUGUCGGGGUAUAGUACGGCAGAUGUUCUAGGGCAUGUGUGAGUGGACAUGAUUUCUAAAAAUCAACAUGGCUGCCAUUUCCCCAUCUUAGAUUUUGUGAAAAACAAUAUGAUCGGUCAUUUCUGUAGUCCAAACACGGUAUUUCAUU
Molecule: long non-coding RNA, 902 nt
Organism: Mizuhopecten yessoensis (Yesso scallop)
Lineage: Eukaryota; Metazoa; Mollusca; Bivalvia; Pectinida; Pectinidae
Exons: 2
Source: RefSeq, a predicted model, not a curated record